Molecule: microRNA precursor, 95 nt
Filed under: Haemonchus contortus (barber pole worm)
Lineage: Eukaryota; Metazoa; Nematoda; Chromadorea; Rhabditida; Trichostrongylidae
Description: microRNA hco-mir-5980 precursor
Source: miRBase by way of RNAcentral
UUUUCAACGGCUCACCUUGCAGAGGCACCUACAGAACUAUUAUAGUGAAUAGUUCUGAAAGUGCCUCUGCAAGGUGUGCCGUUAAACUCAGCAAA